UACGGAGGGUGCAAGCGUUAUCCGGACUCACUGGGUUUAAAGGGUGCGUAGGAGGGUAGGUAAGUCAGUGGUGAAAUCUUCGAGCUUAACUCGGAAACUGCCGUUGAUACUAUCUAUCUUGAAUACCGUGGAGGUGAGCGGAAUAUGUCAUGUAGCGGUGAAAUGCUUAGAUAUGACAUAGAACACCAAUUGCGAAGGCAGCUCGCUACACGAAUAUUGACUCUGAGGCACGAAAGCGUGGGGAUCAAACAGG
Molecule: ribosomal RNA, 253 nt
Filed under: uncultured bacterium
Lineage: Bacteria
Description: partial 16S ribosomal RNA
Rfam family: Bacterial small subunit ribosomal RNA
Source: RNAcentral